GGUGAGGUGAGGACCUGGUGGCCGCAGUUGUGGCACUGUGCGCAGGCGCGGAACUGACCGGACGGAGCGGGCGGCUGUGGCCUCGCCAGCUGGUGAGAAGCGGGCGAGGGUCCGAGGUUUAAAAAUAUCCUUUUUUGCUGAAGGAACACAUUUGCUGGUAUAGUUUCAGAAUGUCAAGUACUGUGUCCUACUGGAUCUUAAAUUCUACAAGGAACAGCAUUGCCACAUUGCAAGGGGGCAGACGCUUAUACUCCAGCUGAUAGGAUCUAUGCCUCUGGACCAGCUGAACUUACUGGUGCAGCUUUUUGUCCCUUCUACUGAGUCCCAUUCCAGAAACUUUGAGCCAUGCUAGGAGGGUGGAGUGCAAUGGCACGAUCUCAGCUCACCACAACCUCCGUCCCCGGGUUCAAGCGAUUCUCCUGCCUCAGCCUCCUGAGUAGCUCGGAUUACAGGUUUGUUUGUUUGUUCGUUUUUUGAGAUAGGAUCUGGCUCUGUCACCCAGGCUGGAGUGCAAUGGCAUGAUAUCUUCUUACUGCAACCUCUGCCUCCUGGGCU
RNAcentral lists this small RNA (555 nucleotides) under Pan troglodytes (chimpanzee). RNAcentral's name for it is "processed transcript". The record is from RNAcentral. Lineage: Eukaryota; Metazoa; Chordata; Mammalia; Primates; Hominidae.